Molecule: ribosomal RNA, 450 nt
Filed under: uncultured Leptolinea sp.
Lineage: Bacteria; Bacillati; Chloroflexota; Anaerolineae; Anaerolineales; Anaerolineaceae
Description: bacterial SSU rRNA
Rfam family: Bacterial small subunit ribosomal RNA
Source: RNAcentral
CCCCGCACAAGCAGCGGAGCGUGUGGUUUAAUUCGAUGUUACACGAAGAACCUUACCAGGGUUUGACAUGCAAGUGGUAGGAAGCCGAAAGGUGACCGACCCUUCGGGGAGCUUGCACAGGUGCUGCAUGGCUGUCGUCAGCUCGUGUCGUGAGAUGUUCGGUUAAGUCCGCUAACGAGCGCAACCCUCGCUGUGUGUUAUAUGUGUCACACGGGACUGCCGGUCUUAAGCCGGAGGAAGGUGGGGAUGAUGUCAAGUCAGCAUGGCCUUUAUAUCCUGGGCUACACACACGCUACAAUGGCCAACACAAUAGGUUGCUAAGCCGCGAGGUGGCGCCAAUCCAUAAAGUUGGUCUCAGUUCAGAUUGUAGGCUGCAACCCGCCUGCAUGAAGAUGGAGUUGCUAGUAACCGCAGGUCAGCUAUACUGCGGUGAAUACGUUCCCGGGGCUU